GACGAACGCUGGCGGCGUGCUUAACACAUGCAAGUCGAACGGAAAGGCCCUGCUUUUGUGGGGUGCUCGAGUGGCGAACGGGUGAGUAACACGUGAGUAACCUGCCCUUGACUUUGGGAUAACUUCAGGAAACUGGGGCUAAUACCGGAUAGGAGCUCCUGCUGCAUGGUGGGGGUUGGAAAGUUUCGGCGGUUGGGGAUGGACUCGCGGCUUAUCAGCUUGUUGGUGGGGUAGUGGCUUACCAAGGCUUUGACGGGUAGCCGGCCUGAGAGGGUGACCGGCCACAUUGGGACUGAGAUACGGCCCAGACUCCUACGGGCGGCAGCAGUGGGGAAUAUUGCACAAUGGGCAGAAGCCUGAUGCAGCAACGCCGCGUGCUGGAUGACGGCCUUUGGGUUGUAAACCGCUUUCGCCUGUGACGAAGCGUGAUUGACGGUAGUGGGUAAGUUAGGAGCGGCUAACUACGU
Molecule: ribosomal RNA, 467 nt
Filed under: uncultured bacterium
Lineage: Bacteria
Description: partial 16S ribosomal RNA
Rfam family: Bacterial small subunit ribosomal RNA
Source: RNAcentral